Bubalus bubalis (water buffalo) is the source of this 387-nucleotide long non-coding RNA. RefSeq lists it as uncharacterized. The transcript has 3 exons. The record is from RefSeq and is a predicted model, not a curated record. Lineage: Eukaryota; Metazoa; Chordata; Mammalia; Artiodactyla; Bovidae.
CAAAAACUACCAUCUUAGAUGGUGUUUGGUGCAACUGAAAGGCAGAAAGUCGCCCGGAAAGGAUUGAAUGGGGCCAGACUGGGGAGAACGAACACCGGAUCCCUGUUGCUGUUCAGUCAUCAGAGCACAUCAUCAUAUGCUGCCCAGCCCCCCACACCAAAAAAAAAAUACAGAUAGGAGCUGGCUGGCAAUCUGGGACCUUGAAAUGAUGAGGAAAGUAUGAAAUUGUUAGCAAAAUGGUGAGAGCCCAGAUUUGAGCAAGUCUGCUUGGAAAUCCAAUCUUUUGUUUUAUCUCAGUAGGACCACUGAGAUAAAACUGACCAGAGUACAUCAUGAGAAACGCUGGGCUGAAAGAAGCACAAGCUGGAAUCAAGAUUGCCAGGAGAA